GGAAGUAAAAGUCGUAACAAGGUUUCCGUAGGUGAACCUGCGGAAGGAUCAUUCACACAUUCAAUUCACAUAACGUGAACCAGUCAGACCGUAACAAGUCUGGCUAUCAACAUUUGUUGGGUUAAUUAUCAAGACUUACCUAAGCAUUAUUAACUAUCAGCGAUGGAUGUCUUGGCUCCCACAACGAUGAAGGCCGCAGCAAAAUGCGAUAAUCAUUGUGAAUUGCAGACUUCUUAGAAUCAACAGAACGCUGAACGCAUACGGCACCGUACUUGUACGGUAGGUCUGUUUCAGAGUCACUUUCGAUCUUCCCAAAACUCUUCUUUGGAGAGCGGACGGAAGGCAAGGUACUGCUCGUCUAUUUUACUAUGGGUUGGCAGUCGCAUUGUUCUAUGGCUACUCGUUUUCAACAUAUUCGACUCGCUCGGUUGUUGCAUAUACGGGUAAUAUAGCUAUAGCUUACAACUUAUAUGACCUGAAAUCAGACCAGGCUACCCGCUGGACUUAAGCAUAUUAGUCAGCGGAGGAAAGGGCGAUCCC
This 540-nucleotide ribosomal RNA is filed under the name uncultured fungus. RNAcentral describes it as "eukaryotic LSU rRNA". The stretch from base 152 to 299 matches the Rfam family "5.8S ribosomal RNA". The record is from RNAcentral. Lineage: Eukaryota; Fungi.